UACAGAGGGUGCGAGCGUUGUCCGGAAUCACUGGGCGUAAAGGGCGCGUAGGCGGCGCGGUAAGCGUGCGGUGAAAGCCCGGGGCUCAACCCCGGGUCGGCCGUGCGGACUGCCGGGCUGGAGCACUGUAGAGGCAGGUGGAAUUCCGGGUGUAGCGGUGGAAUGCGUAGAGAUCCGGAAGAACACCGGUGGCGAAGGCGGCCUGCUGGGCAGUAGCUGACGCUGAAGCGCGACAGCGUGGGGAGCAAACAGG
RNAcentral lists this ribosomal RNA (253 nucleotides) under uncultured bacterium. Its description in RNAcentral is "partial 16S ribosomal RNA". It matches the Rfam family "Bacterial small subunit ribosomal RNA", at positions 524 to 776 of the family's 1533-position model. The record is from RNAcentral.